GUCUAUGGCCAUACCAUCCUGAACGCACCCAAUCUCAUCUUAUCUCGGAAGCUAAGCAGGGUAGGGCCCAGUUAGUACUUGGAUGGGAGAACAUGGACAGAUAUCCUUGCUCAUGGGUA
Molecule: non-coding RNA, 119 nt
Organism: Fukomys damarensis (Damara mole-rat)
Lineage: Eukaryota; Metazoa; Chordata; Mammalia; Rodentia; Bathyergidae
Source: Rfam